Molecule: long non-coding RNA, 554 nt
Organism: Erythranthe guttata (spotted monkey flower)
Lineage: Eukaryota; Viridiplantae; Streptophyta; Magnoliopsida; Lamiales; Phrymaceae
Source: RefSeq, a predicted model, not a curated record
AAGUGUAGAAAUUCCUCCCCUUUAAAUCCGCGAUUUGUGUGAAUUGUGACAUUCUUCUUCAUCGAUUUCUACCUUGCGCUAUUUGGUGAUUGCAGCUAAACCCUAACCCUAGAAUCUAAUCCAACCAUGUCAAGCAAACAAGGAGGAAAAGCAAAGCCUUUGAAGCAACCCAAGGCCGCCAGUAAAGAAUACGACGAGGUUGACAUGGCUAAUAUUCAAAAGAAGAAGGAAGAAGAAAAGGCGCUGAAGGAGCUCAAGGCUAAAGCUCAGCAGAAGGGAUCGUUUGGAGGUUCGGGUUUGAAGAAAAGUGGCAAAAAAUGAGCCCUGCUAAAAGAAAACCUAUUGGCUCAAUGCAAAUGUUUUUCGGCAUUGUGUUGUAUUUUAACCUCUAUUAUCGAAUCUUUCGAACCUAUUAGCUUGUUCUUAUUUGAUGGCUGAUGACUGUCAAACUUUUUUCGGGUGCUUUUCUAUGCAAAAUAUGUAUUCCAUUUUAAUGGACCAAUGAUAUUUUCCUUACCUGAAAUAUUUUAUCUUGCUGUGCGAUUGAAGGUUGA